GGAAUAUUGCGCAAUGGACGGAAGUCUGACGCAGCGACGCCGCGUGGAGGAUGAAGGCCCUAGGGUCGUAAACUCCUUUUUACCAAGCCGUUCACAGCUUGGAGAAUAAGCCUCUACUAACUACGUGCCAGAAGUCUCGGUAAUACGUAGGAGGCAAGCGUUAUCCGGAUUCAUUGGGCGUAAAGUGUGCGUAGGCGUUCCGUAAAGUCUUUGCUUAAAGACCAAGGCUUACCCUUGGGAAUGGCAGGGAUACUCGCGGAAUUGAGGAUUGGUAGGGAUGCUGGAACAGUUAGUGUAGCAGUGAAAUGCGUUGAUACUAACUGGAACACCAAGGGCGAAGGCAAGCAUCUGUGCUCUUCCUGACGCUGAGGCACGAAAGCUAGGGUAGCGAAACAGAUUAGAUACCUGUGUAGUCCUAGCCGUAAACGAUGUCCGCUAACUCUUUCUGAUUUAUUGGAAGGGGUACAAGCUAACGCAUUAAGCGGACCGCCUGGGGAGUACGACCGCAAGGUUA
RNAcentral lists this ribosomal RNA (514 nucleotides) under uncultured bacterium. RNAcentral's name for it is "bacterial SSU rRNA". It matches the Rfam family "Bacterial small subunit ribosomal RNA", at positions 358 to 896 of the family's 1533-position model. The record is from RNAcentral.